UCAAUUGCCAUACUAUUCUAAAUGAAAUAUAGUAUAUUUUAGACCUUCAAGUUUAGGGUAUAGGUAGCUCCGUUAUGGGCGAUGGUUUGGUUUUACAAUUUGGUUUUAGGGUUUGGGUUAAGGGUUUACAGUUUGGGUUUAGGGUUUAGAGUUUGGGUUUAGGGGGGUUUUGGGUUUAAGGUUUGGGUUUAGGGUUUGAGUUAAGGGUCUACGGUUUGGGUUUAGGGUUUAGACCUUCAAGGUUAGGGUUUAGGUAGCUCCGUUAUGGGUGAUGGUUUGGUUUUACAAUUUGGGUUUAGGGUUUGGGUUAAGGGUUUACAGUUUGGAUUUAGGGUUUAGAAUUUGGGUUUAGGGGGGUUUAGGGUUUAGGUAGCUUUGUUUGGGUCUAUGGUUUGGGUUAAGAAUUUGUGUUUAGGGUUUGGGUUUAUGGUUUAGAGUUUUGGUUUAGGGUUUAGGUAGCUCCGUUAUGGUUUACGGUUUGGGUUAAGAAUUUGGGUUUAGGGUAUACGGUUUGGGUUUAGGGUUUAAUGGUCUACCGUUUCGGUUUAGAGUUUAGAGACAAUUAUUUGUGUGUUUGCCUUCUCUUUUGUGUGUUUAUAUCGCCUCAAUCCAUGUCAUAACAUUAGGCUACUGCAACUUGUCUGAACGCAUGUAUUGAAGAUCUGGCUUCUUUGUCUAGACUAUACCAUAUAUCGUAUAGUAUAAAUUUGUUUGGGUCACUUUCUAUACAUGUAUUGGAACAUUACCAAAAUGUGGGCAUAGUACAUUGAAUAUAGGGUAGUCUCGUUUCCGUGCAUGGGUAUAUUGUAUAUUUUCGGACUUUCGAACCCCUUAUGAAUACACAUUUACCAAUUGUUGUGACUUUGUGUGUGGCAGAACUUAACUAGACGUCAUGGGUUGGAUUCGCAGUAAUAAUCUCAACGGCUAGCACUUCAGGUGACGGAUACAUCUUAGCACCGGUGGUAGCUCUAGCGUUAGUCUCCACAGUCACAUGAGCAUCAUUGGUUGGUUCCAUGAUUGCUCAAGUUCUUUCAGUUUGGGUGGUAAGGUAUUUGUUUCUUUUUUGUUGGGUUGAUUGUAUGAGAGAAGGAAAUAUAUAUAGUGACUGAGUAAGCAUGGAUGUCUAAAAGACCCACAUAUAAGAAUUUAUGGUAAAAUCUAAUACAUAUUUCUUUGGCAUCUCUUAAUUUUAUGUUAGAUAACUUAGACAUAUCCAGACAUUCAUGUGGCUCACGCUAAUAGGUUUAUGAUCCACGUGGUUCACACUAAUAGGUCUAUUUGUAUUAUAAUAUUUGUCGUGGAGCGUUAAAUAGAUAUCGAUGAAAAAUAUUUAUAUAGAAGUAUUGAGUUUUAUUAAUUUUUCACUAUUUUAAGUAGUAGUUCCUAUUAAUAGAAUGCUAUCAAUCCAUUUUUCUAAUAUAUUCUUGAAGGUUUAGUUUUUAGGUAAUAAUCAUAUGAAUGUAUUAAUAAAAUAGUUACACAUAUAAUAAUAUGCUCAUAUAUAGAUAAAUGAGGUUAUAAAGAUAUCUAAAAGUAUAAGUUUUGAAAUUUAAAUGUCUUUAAAUAAUUAUUUAUUAUACAACAAUGUUGUUGUUAAUUCAUUUUCUUUAUAAACUCUUAGCUUUACUUUAGUUCUUCAAUAUAUAUCCACAUAAAUUCUAUGUCAUUUUGAUUAUUGAUAAACAAUCAUAAAUAAAUUAUCAAAACUAUCAUUUCAUUGUUUUUCUAUAAUAUACAAUUAGAAAGGCUUUUAUACGUUUUUAUAUCACAUAUACAUCUUACAAAAUUAUAAUUUUAGUCCGAAAUCAUAUCAAUGCUUUUUGUUUCUUUAAUUGUUUAUUUUGUUUGUGUUCUCCUAACAAAUGAUGUCUAAUAAUUUUGAAUAAAAGAUUUAGCUAUAAAAACUGUUUCAAAUUUGUUAAUUCAUCACCCUACAGGCUUAUUUGUAGUUGGCAGAAUUUUGUAGUUUUUUCAAAUUACCUCUAACAUGUAAGAAAAGUGUAGAUUUGAUUUUACUAUAAACAUGGUAACAAAUCUUGGAUACAUUUCCUUUUAUUUCAUUCCCUAUUUUUUAUCAUAGAGAUUUAUUAAAAGAUUUUAUUUACAUUUUCUAUUUUGUGACUAAAAUCAUAAAUUCAGUAUAUUAAUAUUGUAUAAAGGAAGUUAAUUGUAUUUUUUUUGUUUUCUAUAUAGUAGGAAACUCAUAUCACACCUUGAGGUAUAUAAUAUUUACUAUACAUUGAACUUAAAUUUAGUUUGCAAGUCUAUCAGAUGCAAAAUUUGGUAGGUUAAGAUACCCUUCUUUUUAGAGAAUAAAAUAUAUAUUAUUUCCAACAAAAUAUAAUUACUUCCCUUUUGCUAGACUUGCAAUUCUUUUGGUAAUGAUAUGAUUCUUAUUACAGCUGCUACCAAAAUAAACUACAACAAAUAUUUGUGACUCAAAUGGUUACAUUUUUCCUAUGUCCUGAAAUUACAUUGUGAAUUAAUAACAAAGAAAGGUAGUCCAGCAAUCCAAUGAUCAUUCCACUGUAUCACCACUUUUUCUCAAUCUAUUAAAAAUGUAUCAUUGUCUUUCUACUUAUGAUGAUUAAAAAAACAAACCACUUCUCACUUGACAGAUUAUGUAUUGUAGAUCCUAAAAUCUACACUAAGUAUUUUGUAGUGUUUGAGAUGUAAAACUAGGGGAAAAAAUAAAUGUGGGCAACGAUAUCCUUAGAACACAACGUUUUAAUCAGAUUCCGGUUGGCGAAAAUGGACUUUUAUUGAUAAAACAGAAUUGAAUACAAUAGAGAAUUGAGAUCGAGAACUACAACUGAAAUCAAAUAAGAAGAGAAUGGGUCUGCGAUGUGAUGAGUUUGAGGUCGAUGUAGGUUGGUAGUUCACUUUCUAGGUUUUUUCACGUGUCUCUCCCUCUUGUCUUAGACCCCUUUUUUAUAGUCGCUCAGCUCCGUGAUCUUCUCAACUGCUUCCUCGACCUCCGGAUUUUGAUCCCUCUUUGUCUCGAACUCGUUCACACGAAAUGGGCCUCGGACCAUGCGGUCCACUUCUUUCUCAGCCCAUUUAGAUUACUGACCGAAAUUGGGUCCAACAUGUAUUGUUCAUAAUUAAUGUUUUAAAUAUGCUUACACUGUUACACAUUCAAAAUAAUUAGUUGUGAUUGAGGACUAGCUAGGGGUCUAAGGGAAAUGACGACAAUUGUUUUAUUUUUUGGUGUAAAUGUUAUAUAUUUUUGGUGUAAAUGUUAAAUUCAUACCAAAGCUUUUCUUUGACAACAUUUGUGAAAAUCCACUUAUUACAAUGAGAACGAAAUAAGAUAGAGCAUGCAGUUACAAACAGAUCAAAACCCUAAGGAACAGGAGGCGGUAGGCGGAAGUAGACUAGCAGGGGAGAAGGCGAAGAAGCGGAUGAUGGAGGAAUGGAGAUAAGUCGAUCACGCCUUAUGCAAUCAACACGCGCAAUGACUCCAGUCUCAGUUGUUGACGCUUGUUGGAAGGUGUGCAUGUUCCUCUCUCGCCACACGCAGUAUCUGAUACAUUGCAGCAAGAGCUUGAUCACAGCUGGUAACCCGAAGACGAGACGACCUGAUAACUUGAAACAAUACCCGCAACCGCUUGAAGUGAUGAUGGAGGAGUGGGAAUGGAGAGUCCACAUAAAUGAGCCCAGACCGCAGACACAAAGGAACAUUGGAGGAAUAAGUGAGGAUGAGACUCAUGUCCUGUAGAGCAUAGAACACACUGCAAAAGGACAGCAAGACCCCAAGAAGCUAGCCUGUCCUUUGUUGGUAAUCUCGAUAGCAUUGCCAUCCAUGUAAUGAAAAAGCAUUUUGGGAUCUCUUCCUUGAACCAGACCAUAGAAUGCCACUGGACUAUAGGAGCUAUCUCACGGAUGGUGUGCCAUGUUGCCUUUGUGGAGAACUUAGGAACAUAAUGUUAUUCAUAUAUCAAUUCACAUAUGCAUGUGAAUCACGAUGUAUGUUAGACUAUUUUGCCAUUUUUUACAAUGCUAUCAGUGAAUGCGAAAUAAAGUAUGUAGUAAGAAUUAGAGUUAUUAUCUUUAUCUCGGCCUAAAACCAAAACAAUACGUUUAUCAAAACACUGAGUAUACAAAUUACGGUCUUUCAAAACUGGGUCUAAAGUCCAAGUUGAUUUUGGGAAUAUUUAGUUUUUGAUAUUUUAUUCUUAUUUUUAAAAAUUGGCUGAAUUAAUUUUGAUUUAUAUUUUUAAUGUUAAUUUUUAAAAAUGAGUGUAUACCUUAAUUCUUGUGCAUACACCCAAAACAUCAAAUAUUUUAGAAGAGAGGGAGUAUUAGAUUUAUAUUUUUAACCUGUGACUUUUAUAUGAUCUAGCUUUUGACCCAAUAAGUUCUAUGUGAGAUCUGAUAAGUUAUCUAUAGAGUGUAUAAAGAUUUUUGUCGAGUGUUUUGUUAUUUGGAACUAAUCGUCCCUUUAAAUUAUUAGAAUUUAACCAUAACCCUCUCUCAUCAAUAAAAGAUUACAUGGGUAACUGUUCAGCUUCGGUUCCCCAGAUCAUUUAACAUAUAUCAUAAUUUGAAAAUUUUUAAUCGGAUAUUUUAAACAUUUCGACCGAAGUUUAUACUAUACUAUAUUAAAAUAGAAUAGUUCACCUAAUUUAUACAUUGAGUGGUAAUGUGUAUUUGCGUUUUGAAAUUUCAUGCUUUAUAAAGGAUAUUAUUUUGCUAUUGUGUUGAAUGAAUGCUCUAAGUUAAUGGAGAUUCACAUACAUGUGUGUAUUGACAGUUUAUAUAGCUUUCAUACAAUAUUUGAAUAAACAUUACAUUAUAGUAUACUAAUCUAUUCAUCAAAAUAGUAUAGUUUCCUCCUAUGUCGCUUUCACUCUUACACUCCCUUCUACUCUUUCUCUCCUCCCCUCCCUUCCCCGGUCUCUCUCUGUCGCUCUCUCCAUUCCUCCUUCCUUUCCUCCAUACUUCUAUCUUUCCUCCUUCCUCCUUCCUCCUCCUCCCCUCCUGCUCCUCACCUCUCAAUUUUCCUCCUUUUCCCAUUAAUCAAUAUAGUAACUAUCAUCAAUUGCCAUACUAUUCUAAAUGAAAUAUAGUAUAUUUUAGACCUUCAAGUUUAGGGUUUAGGUAGCUCCGUUAUGGGCGAUGGUUUGGUUUUACAAUUUGGUUUUAGGGUUUGGGUUAAGGGUUUACAGUUUGGGUUUAGGGUUUAGAGUUUGGGUUUAGGGGGGUUUUGGGUUUAAGGUUUGGGUUUAGGGUUUGAGUUAAGGGUCUACGGUUUGGGUUUAGGGUUUAGACCUUCAAGGUUAGGGUUUAGGUAGCUCCGUUAUGGGUGAUGGUUUGGUUUUACAAUUUGGGUUUAGGGUUUGGGUUAAGGGUUUACAGUUUGGAUUUAGGGUUUAGAAUUUGGGUUUAGGGGGGUUUAGGGUUUAGGUAGCUUUGUUUGGGUCUAUGGUUUGGGUUAAGAAUUUGUGUUUAGGGUUUGGGUUUAUGGUUUAGAGUUUUGGUUUAGGGUUUAGGUAGCUCCGUUAUGGUUUACGGUUUGGGUUAAGAAUUUGGGUUUAGGGUAUACGGUUUGGGUUUAGGGUUUAAGGGUCUACCGUUUGGGUUUAGAAUUUAGAGUUUGGGUUUAGGGUUUAGUGUUUAGAGUUUGGGUUUAGGGUUUAUUUGGUUGUGUUUCAUUAUGUUGGUAAUCAACAUCAAUUGCC
RNAcentral lists this long non-coding RNA (5684 nucleotides) under Brassica napus (rape). RNAcentral describes it as "long non-coding RNA (BNAP_LNC011027)". The record is from RNAcentral. Lineage: Eukaryota; Viridiplantae; Streptophyta; Magnoliopsida; Brassicales; Brassicaceae.